GGUAUUGGUUUUUUGUGCCAAUGCCUAUGAAAUGAGGUGAUUAACUUUUCUUGAAAUGGUUAUUUAGCAUGUUUAAUAUACUAAUUCCUUUACUUGAUGGAUAUAGAUUCUGAAAUAUAAAAAUCGUGGACGUUUGGUCAAACAAACACUUGUGGUUAAUUGGUUAUGGUUCCGUCACUUUCCAUUAUACAAUAUCUUGUUCCUGAAGGUAUUUUCCAAGACUAAAGGUUUAUGAUUAGAACAAGUGUUGCACUUCAGUUAGACCUUCUUUCUUGCUUAAUUCUAUUAUGUAAGAUUUGUGUUGUGGUACAAGGCAGUUCUGAAGUGAAAUCCAUUCAUUAUUUGUUGCGGUUUAUAAGUUGUCUUUCAAAUGCAGUAUUCUAAGGGAAUCCGUUAAUGAAGGGACAGAGAAUUUUCUCCUCUAGUAAAAAGUAAUAGCAUUUGUUGUCUCUUUCUAGAUGACGGUAUCCUGCCGUUUCUGAUUAUGCCUUGUUCUUUUUUCUAUAUUUAUAUUUUCUUCCCCAUUUAUUUAUCUCCUCCCACUCAGAUUUUUUUUUUAUAGGUUGAGUUGAAUUUCAGUGGUAGACUUAGUUUAUGUCUUAGGGGUGUUAUAGGUCAAGAUUGAUCAUUGAGAUAAUAUGAAGGAAAACAUAUUAGUUCUUCACUGCAACUACAUUUGCAAUGGCCAUUUGUAACCUUCCCCAUUUUUUUUUCUAAACGAAAUGAAAUGUAGGAUUCUUUCGGUCUUUUCAUUUAAAAAAGCCUUUGCUUCUUUGAUGUUUCUUCACUUGCAGACAGAUUUGACAGGAAGAGAAUACUGCUGUGAUGGGGAAACUAAAUUAAUAGGUUCAAUUUUUUUAUUUUUUAUUAUUAUUUUUUUGGGGGUGUGUUUUUGGUUACUAAUGUUGGUCUUUAUGAUAAGUCUCUCUCUACAUUUCUAGACAAGGAUUUUGCAAUGCCUAACGGAUCAUAUUUUGAUCAACUUUUGCUUAUCCUUGAUUCUGUUUUAUUCUUCAUCUCAUUUGUUUUAGGAAACUUAAGAGAGCAGAGGUUAUUUAAAGUUUCCACCUUCAGGAAGUUCAUAGUUAUUUGCUCUGGUUUGGUUCAGGCUACAAUUCUUAUAUCUUAGUACUUCUUGGCAUCUGCGUUUUUACGAGUUGCUUUGUUUCUCAG
This 1173-nucleotide long non-coding RNA is filed under the name Olea europaea subsp. europaea. Lineage: Eukaryota; Viridiplantae; Streptophyta; Magnoliopsida; Lamiales; Oleaceae. The record is from RNAcentral.